CAGAAAACCUAAGCAUUAAUGAAUUUACCAGCCGAUGGUCGACUUUUGAACCUUUUCUCGGUCGGUGAUUGAGGAUGUUCCUGUUCCAGAUGGUGGUGGAGACGGUGAGAGAGAGAGACGGAGAGGAGUUCUCCCACCAUGACCUCACUCCUGCACUGGACAUGGGCACUACAGCGGUGUUCUCUAAAGACGAGCUGCAGAAGUUUCUUCAGAAGAUGAGGGAGUCGUCUCUGCUGUUAUUGGAUAAAGGACUCGAUCCUCUCGGCUACGAGCUCCAGUCCUAGAUUAAAAUACCCUGAUGCCUAUUUGUUUAGUUUUUUCUUCUAUUUUGUACUUGAAUAAAAGUGAGUUUCAUGAGAUCUGUAAAA
This is a long non-coding RNA of Clarias gariepinus (North African catfish), 368 nucleotides long. RefSeq lists it as uncharacterized. The transcript has 2 exons. The record is from RefSeq and is a predicted model, not a curated record. NCBI's taxonomy places the organism in Eukaryota, Metazoa, Chordata, Actinopteri, Siluriformes, Clariidae.